CAUGUAUAGUGUGAGAGAGAUGAGCAGAAAACAAAUGUGUACUACAGUGCACAAAAAUGCAUUGCUGGGUCUCAGGAGGAUAUGGCCUGUGAAGUUCCUG
Long non-coding RNA from Melanotaenia boesemani (Boeseman's rainbowfish), 100 nucleotides. RefSeq lists it as uncharacterized. The transcript has 4 exons. NCBI's taxonomy places the organism in Eukaryota, Metazoa, Chordata, Actinopteri, Atheriniformes, Melanotaeniidae. The record is from RefSeq and is a predicted model, not a curated record.